GUCCCCCGCUUUGCGAGCUUCUUCGAUGAAUAUUUUUCACUUAGCGUGUGGCCCACGCAACUGUACUUAGGGCUGAACAAAUAAUUAAAAUAUAAAAAAAUUUAUUAAAUUUGAUCCAUUAAACAUCGAUUUUGUUUUGUUAAGAUUUGAUAUCUUAAAAUUCGAUGUCCAGAAUAACUAACGGAGUCCAACGAACUUAAAAACAACUCAAAAAAAAUUCAGACGGCAA
RNAcentral lists this long non-coding RNA (229 nucleotides) under Elaeis guineensis (African oil palm). Its description in RNAcentral is "long non-coding RNA (EGUI_LNC022700)". The record is from RNAcentral. Lineage: Eukaryota; Viridiplantae; Streptophyta; Magnoliopsida; Arecales; Arecaceae.